Molecule: transfer RNA, 76 nt
Filed under: Clostridia bacterium
Lineage: Bacteria; Bacillati; Bacillota; Clostridia
Description: tRNA-Leu
Rfam family: tRNA
About the family: Transfer RNA (tRNA) molecules are approximately 80 nucleotides in length. Their secondary structure includes four short double-helical elements and three loops (D, anti-codon, and T loops).
Source: RNAcentral
GCGAGCGUGGCGGAACGGCAUACGCGUGCGUCUCAGAAGCGCAUUUUUGGAGGUUCAAAUCCUCUCGUUCGCACCA